ACGAACGCUGGCGGCGUGCCUAAUACAUGCAAGUCGAGCGAGGUAGCUUGCUACCUAGCGGCGAACGGGUGAGUAACACGUAGGUAACCUGCCUUGAGACUGGGAUACCCGAGCGAAAGUUCGGCUAAUACCGGAUAACAACGGGGACGGCAUCGUCUCCGCUUGAAAGGUGCGUUUGCACCACUCUUAGAUGGACCUGCGGCACAUUAGCUAGUUGGUGAGAUAACAGCCCACCAAGGCAAGGAUGUGUAGCCGACCUGAGAGGGUGACCGGCCACAAUGGGACUGAGACACGGCCCAUACUCCUACGGGAGGCAGCAGUAGGGAGUUUUCGGCAAUGGGCGAAAGCCUGACCGAGCAACGCCGCGUGAAGUGAUGAAGGUCUUCGGAUUGUAAAGCUCUGUUACGAGGGACGAAUUACCGGGUCAGGAAAUGGGCCCGGCUUGACGGUACCUCGCCAGAAAGUGACGGCUAACUACGUGCCAGCAGCGGC
This 492-nucleotide ribosomal RNA is filed under the name uncultured bacterium. RNAcentral's name for it is "bacterial SSU rRNA". It matches the Rfam family "Bacterial small subunit ribosomal RNA", at positions 29 to 518 of the family's 1533-position model. The record is from RNAcentral.